UACGAGGACGAACGCUGGCGGCGUGCCUAACACAUGCAAGUCGAACGGGGGUUUGCUUCGGUAGAACCUUAGUGGCGAACGGGUGAGUAACGCGUAGGCAACCUGCCCCCCGGAUUGGGACAACACCCCGAAAGGGGUGCUAAUACCGGAUACGAAGAUAGCACCGCAUGGUGAUAUUUUUGAAAGAUGGCCUCUACAGGUAAGCUAUCGCCGGGGGAUGGGCCUGCGUCCGAUUAGCUGGUUGGUGGGGUAACGGCCCACCAAGGCGACGAUCGGUAGCCGGUCUGAGAGGAUGAACGGCCACAUUGGGACUGAGACACGGCCCAGACUCCUACGGGAGGCAGCAGUGGGGAAUCUUCCGCAAUGGGCGCAAGCCUGACGGAGCAACGCCGCGUGAGUGAAGGAAGUUUUUCGGAACGUAAAGCUCUGUUGUACAUGACGAACGUGCGAUCUGUCAACAACGGAUGGCAGUGACGGUAGUGUACGAGGAAGCCACGGCUAACUACGUGCCAGCCGCCGC
This 520-nucleotide ribosomal RNA is filed under the name uncultured bacterium. RNAcentral's name for it is "bacterial SSU rRNA". It matches the Rfam family "Bacterial small subunit ribosomal RNA", at positions 26 to 518 of the family's 1533-position model. The record is from RNAcentral.